Molecule: ribosomal RNA, 424 nt
Filed under: uncultured bacterium
Lineage: Bacteria
Description: partial 16S ribosomal RNA
Rfam family: Bacterial small subunit ribosomal RNA
Source: RNAcentral
GAAUAUUGGACAAUGGGCGAAAGCCUGAUCCAGCCAUGCCGCGUGUGUGAAGAAGGUCUUCGGAUUGUAAAGCACUUUAAGCUGGGAGGAAGGGCAGUAAGCGAAUACCUUGCUGGUUUGACUUUACCGCCAGACUAAGCACCGGCUAACUCUGUGCCAGCCGGCGCGGUAAUAAAGAGGGUGAAAGCGUUAAUCGGAAUUACGUGGCGUAAAGCGCGCGUAGGUGGUUCGUUAAGUUGGAGGUGAAAUCCCCGGGCUCAACGUGGGAACUGCAUCCAAAACUGGCGAGCUAGAGUAGGGCAGAGGGUGGUGGAAUUUCCUGUGUAGCGGUGAAAUGCGUAGAUAUAGGAAGGAACACCAGUGGCGAAGGCGACCACCUGGGCUCAUACUGACACUGAGGUGCGAAAGCGUGGGGAGCAAACAG